RNAcentral lists this ribosomal RNA (253 nucleotides) under uncultured bacterium. Its description in RNAcentral is "partial 16S ribosomal RNA". It matches the Rfam family "Bacterial small subunit ribosomal RNA", at positions 524 to 776 of the family's 1533-position model. The record is from RNAcentral.
UACAGAGGAUGCAAGCGUUAUCCGGAAUGAUUGGGCGUAAAGCGUCUGUAGGUGGCUUUUUAAGUCCGCCGUCAAAUCCCAGGGCUCAACUCUGGACAGGCGGUGGAAACUACCAAGCUGGAGUACGGUAGGGGCAGAGGGAAUUUCCGGUGGAGCGGUGAAAUGCGUAGAUAUCGGAAGGAACGCCGGUGGCGAAAGCGACGUGCUGGACCCUUUCUGACGCUGAGGCGCGAAAGCCAGGGGAGCAAACGGG